Molecule: long non-coding RNA, 1236 nt
Organism: Gadus morhua (Atlantic cod)
Lineage: Eukaryota; Metazoa; Chordata; Actinopteri; Gadiformes; Gadidae
Exons: 7
Source: RefSeq, a predicted model, not a curated record
GCCUCGGAUGUCAAGACAGAGAAGUGCUGGAAGGAAGAAAGUCAAGAGAAGGGAGUCAAACUUAUACCGGGAAAUCCAGGCUCUUAAGGAAUCACUCAAUAAACAGAAAAGAAAAACUGAAAAAUACAGGAAAAGACUAACAAGACUACACCAGAAUUCAGAAUCACCCAGAUCAAAAACACGCCGCCUCGUAGGAAGGGUUCCUGUGUCUCGAGAGGUGCACAAAACUUUAGUUUCCCACCAUGCCCUAGUGGACAACAUCAGCAGAAAGUAUGCUUCUACCAAACACAAAAGAACUAGGCAGCUCGUGUCCAAUGGAUUUUAACUUGACGUGAAACUGCGAAAACCUCUCGAAUUUUUGGAUGGAGUUGACCUGAACAACAGAUAAAGGAUGAUGUGAAAAUAAAUAUUGAGAAAGACACUCAAUAGAGACAGAUAUUUCAGAACGUCAACAUGGCAAUGAUGAUAUGGCAGCCAAAAUAUAAAGUGUUGCCCAUUUAACUUUUGAAUGAAAGCAUGUCUAAACAAUAAACCUUAAUUGACAAUAGAUGUAUUGAACCCACACAACUUUGCUGCCCUCAAAAUAUGUUAAACAUUUUGAUGGUAAAUACAAAUUGGAAAAUGUUUUUUUUCAAUCUAGAAUUCAUUUUCAACAUAUAUUUAGGCCUACUUUUAUUUCAUAUUUAUAUUAUUGACAAUGCUACUGCAUCAGCAAAUUGUCGCCCAGCAGAAUACAGUUCAGAAGAGGGCUGUUGUCCAAACUGUCCCCCAGGAAUGCAUGUUAAUAGACAUUGCACAGAAUUCAGAAGUACAUCAUGUGCAUCUUGCACAGAAGGUACUUUCCAAGAUGGCAACAAUGGGCGUGAACAAUGCUUUUCAUGUAAACAUUGUGAUGCAGGUCUCGGUCUGAAGGUGAAGAAGUCGUGUUCAUCAACAUCAGAUGCUGUGUGUGAGGUCCUGGAUGGAUUCUUCUGUAGUGACUCUAACGGAGGUGGAUGUAGGGCCGCUCAGAGACACACGGUUUGCAGUCCUGGUCAAUACAUCGGUCAAAGAGGGGCCAUCCAGCUUCUUACCAAUGUAUUGGUGUCUACGUUAUUCCAUGAUCAUCUACAACAGUCUGACAAUGAGUAGAGAUAGAAACACCUUUGAAGUACAAUUCUCUGUUUUCUUCUUCCUUCUUGCGGCAAACAAUUUUGGUGAAAGUAGUUACAAUAUUUAACCUCGCCAUGUUUUUCA